RNAcentral lists this transfer RNA (85 nucleotides) under Pelobates cultripes (western spadefoot toad). RNAcentral describes it as "tRNA.Arg". It matches the Rfam family "tRNA". Rfam says of the family: Transfer RNA (tRNA) molecules are approximately 80 nucleotides in length. Their secondary structure includes four short double-helical elements and three loops (D, anti-codon, and T loops). The record is from RNAcentral. Lineage: Eukaryota; Metazoa; Chordata; Amphibia; Anura; Pelobatidae.
GGCUCUGUGGCGCAAUGGAUAGCGCAUUGGACUUCUAGAAGCUGAAGGGAUUCAAAGGUUGUGGGUUCGAGUCCCACCAGAGUCG